RNAcentral lists this ribosomal RNA (497 nucleotides) under uncultured bacterium. Its description in RNAcentral is "partial 16S ribosomal RNA". It matches the Rfam family "Bacterial small subunit ribosomal RNA", at positions 28 to 507 of the family's 1533-position model. The record is from RNAcentral.
GAUGAACGCUGGCGGCGUGCCUAAUACAUGCAAGUCGAGCGAACGGACGAGAAGCUUGCUUUUCUGAUGUUAGCGGCGGACGGGUGAGUAACACGUGGAUAACCUACCUAUAAGACUGGGAUAACUUCGGGAAACCGGAGCUAAUACCGGAUAAUAUUUUGAACCGCAUGGUUCAAAAGUGAAAGACGGUCUUGCUGUCACUUAUAGAUGGAUCCGCGCUGCAUUAGCUAGUUGGUAAGGUAACGGCUUACCAAGGCAACGAUGCAUAGCCGACCUGAGAGAGUGAUCGGCGACACUGGAACUGAGACACGGUCCAGACUCCUACGGGAGGCAGCAGUAGAGAAUCUUCCGCAAUGGGCGAAAGCCUGACGGAGCAACGCCGCAUGAGUGAUGAGGGUCUUCGGAUCGUAAAGCUCUGUUAUUAGGGAAGAACAUAUGUUUAAGUAACUGUGCACAUCUUGACGGUACCUAAUCAGAAAGCCACGGCUAACUACGUG